This 497-nucleotide ribosomal RNA is filed under the name uncultured bacterium. RNAcentral's name for it is "partial 16S ribosomal RNA". It matches the Rfam family "Bacterial small subunit ribosomal RNA", at positions 28 to 507 of the family's 1533-position model. The record is from RNAcentral.
GACGAACGCUGGCGGCGUGCCUAAUACAUGCAAGUAGAACGCUGAAGAGAGGAGCUUGCUCUUCUUGGAUGAGUUGCGAACGGGUGAGUAACGCGUAGGUAACCUGCCUGGUAGCGAGGGAUAACUAUUGGAAACGAUAGCUAAUACCGCAUAAAAUUGAUUAUUGCAUGAUAAUUAAUUGAAAGAUGCAACUGCAUCACUACCAGAUGGACCUGCGUUGUAUUAGCUAGUUGGUGAGGUAACGGCUCACCAAGGCGACGAUACAUGGCCGACCUGAGAGGGUGAUCGGCCACACUGGGACUGAGACACGGCCCAGACUCCUACGGGAGGCAGCAGUAGGGAAUCUGCGGCAAUGGGGGGAACCCUGACCGAGCAACGCCGCGUGAGUGAAGAAGGUUUUCGGAUCGUAAAGCUCUGUUGUAAGAGAAGAACGGGUGUGAGAGUGGAAAGUUCACACUGUGACGGUAUCUUACCAGAAAGGGACGGCUAACUACGUG